GGCACUUACUCCAUCAUCUUUGUCAACUGUCCCAAUGAGCAAAUUGCCAGAGAUAUUGCCAGGGCUAGCCUGGAUAAGAAGCUGGCUGCCUCUGUGAACAUCCUGCCCAAGGCAUCCUCACUGUACUUUUGGAAUGGAGAAAUCGAAGAAGCCACUGAAAUCCUGUUGCUAAUAAAGACAAAGACUUCCAAGGUCCACGUGCUAUCCAG
Long non-coding RNA from Neomonachus schauinslandi (Hawaiian monk seal), 209 nucleotides. RefSeq lists it as uncharacterized. The transcript is spliced from 4 exons. NCBI's taxonomy places the organism in Eukaryota, Metazoa, Chordata, Mammalia, Carnivora, Phocidae. The record is from RefSeq and is a predicted model, not a curated record.